GCUUGAAUAGCUCAGUUGGUAGAGCGCACGACUAUGGUUGAUAACCUGGUCCAAAAGUUUGUGGGUUCAAUUCCCACCUCUACCA
Non-coding RNA from Xenopus laevis (African clawed frog), 85 nucleotides. The record is from Rfam. NCBI's taxonomy places the organism in Eukaryota, Metazoa, Chordata, Amphibia, Anura, Pipidae.